AUGGACAAUGUUUAACAGAAGAUGUUCCUUUAUUAAAGAGCCACUUCCAUGCUGAAGCAUAUGGUGUGGAGAAGAAAGCAAGGGCGAGAGACGCAGACUUCGAAGUUUGCCCCUGGCAUACGCUAUGACUUGAGAUGCCAAUUAAUCUAAGUUAGCAUCUGAUUGACACCCAAGGCAUCAUGAACCCAAAGAGGUAGAGACCCAGAGCCACGGGCUGGUGUCCAGCUUCCUGCGGCUGAGGGACCAAGGUACCUUGGGAUGGUUCUCUUCACUCCC
Molecule: long non-coding RNA, 276 nt
Filed under: Fukomys damarensis (Damara mole-rat)
Lineage: Eukaryota; Metazoa; Chordata; Mammalia; Rodentia; Bathyergidae
Description: lncRNA (ENSFDAG00000021673.1)
Source: RNAcentral